Molecule: long non-coding RNA, 623 nt
Organism: Alosa alosa (allis shad)
Lineage: Eukaryota; Metazoa; Chordata; Actinopteri; Clupeiformes; Clupeidae
Exons: 4
Source: RefSeq, a predicted model, not a curated record
AGUUUGCAUCCGCCAUCUUGUCACUUUGCUGGCGGUAACUUUCCCUGACGUCUCGUCGAAGAGAAGACAAAUGUCCCUUCUAACGGGUUUUCUAUGAAGUGUUGCUUCUGCAGCUUUGCCAGCGCCACUCAAGAGCGUCUGCUCAGGCACCAUCGACUCAGGCACGGAAGAGGAGCUUACUGGCCGUGUGUUUACAGUGACUGUAUUUAGAGAUUCUGGAUCCAGAGACUUUGAACGAUUACCACCCAUUGGCUGCAUACCAAGUUGCUAGAACUUUGAUGGUGACCCCAAGGACUUGGCUACUGCAGUAACUUGAAAUGGCUUUGUUGCUUCUGGUCCACAUAAAUCCCAAACUCGUCCGUAAGAUUCGGCUGACCAAAGCUCCUGAAACUUUAGAGGAACUGUACAAUGAACUGCGUCAAAAACUUGAACUUGUGGGUGAAUUCUGUAUACAGUAUGAAGACUCAGACUUUGGCCUGGCAGUUUGCAACCUGAUUGACAUAGCAGAGUUACCUUCAGAAAAGGCUGUCUUGCAUAUUCUGUGGAGCAGUGAGGACAUGCAAUCACCACCACCUCCAACACCAACUCGGUCAUCCUCCAUCUCUUCCCUUGACACAGCCAGC